UACAGAGGUCUCAAGCGUUGUUCGGAUUCAUUGGGCGUAAAGGGUGCGUAGGCGGCGCGGUAAGUCUGGUGUGAAAUCUCGGAGCUCAACUCCGAAAUUGCACUGGAUACUGCUCUGCUAGAGGGCUGGAGAGGAGAUCGGAAUUCACGGUGUAGCAGUGAAAUGCGUAGAUAUCGUGAGGAAGACCAGUGGCGAAGGCGGAUCUCUGGGACGGUACUGACGCUGAGACGCGAAAGCGUGGGGAGCGAACAGG
This 253-nucleotide ribosomal RNA is filed under the name uncultured bacterium. RNAcentral's name for it is "partial 16S ribosomal RNA". It matches the Rfam family "Bacterial small subunit ribosomal RNA", at positions 524 to 776 of the family's 1533-position model. The record is from RNAcentral.